Molecule: non-coding RNA, 46 nt
Organism: Schistosoma mansoni
Lineage: Eukaryota; Metazoa; Platyhelminthes; Trematoda; Strigeidida; Schistosomatidae
Source: Rfam
CUACCACCGAGGAGUCCCAUAAUAGGAUGAAACGGCCGUCCAGUAC